GAAUAACUCCCAACCCCUAUGUGAACGUUACCAAACUGUUGCCUCGGCGGGAUUUCUGCCCCGGGCGCGUUCGCAGCCCCGGACCAAGGCGCCCGCCGGAGGACCAAUUUACAAACUCUUUUGUAUAUCCCAUCGCGGAUUCUUUACAUUCUGAGCUUUCUCGGCGCUCCUAGCGAGCGUUUCGAAAAUGAAUCAAAACUUUCAACAACGGAUCUCUUGGUUCUGGCAUCGAUGAAGAACGCAGCGAAAUGCGAUAAGUAAUGUGAAUUGCAGAAUUCAGUGAAUCAUCGAAUCUUUGAACGCACAUUGCGCCCGCCAGUAUUCUGGCGGGCAUGCCUGUCCGAGCGUCAUUUCAACCCUCGAACCCCUCCGGGGGGUCGGCGUUGGGGAUCGGCACUUACCUGCCGGCCCCGAAAUACAGUGGCGGUCUCGCCGCAGCCUCUCCUGCGCAGUAGUUUGCACACUCGCACCGGGAGCGCGGCGCGUCCACGGCCGUAAAACAACCCAAACUUCUGAAAUGUU
RNAcentral lists this ribosomal RNA (522 nucleotides) under Trichoderma sp. INBio2865A. Its description in RNAcentral is "eukaryotic LSU rRNA". The stretch from base 197 to 350 matches the Rfam family "5.8S ribosomal RNA". Lineage: Eukaryota; Fungi; Ascomycota; Sordariomycetes; Hypocreales; Hypocreaceae. The record is from RNAcentral.